CCUACGGGGGGCUGCAGUCGAGAAUCUUCGGCAAUGGGCGCAAGCCUGACCGAGCGACGCCGCGUGGAGGAAGACGGCCCUUGGGUUGUAAACUCCUGUCGAGGGGAAGGAAGGGUCGGCGAAGAGCCGAUCUUGACCGCUCCCUGGAGGAAGCACGGGCUAAGUUCGUGCCAGCAGCCGCGGUAAGACGAACCGUGCAAACGUUAUUCGGAAUCACUGGGCUUAAAGGGCGCGUAGGCGGAAUGGCGCGUCGGCGUUGAAAUCCCCCGGCUCAA
This 275-nucleotide ribosomal RNA is filed under the name uncultured Isosphaera sp. RNAcentral's name for it is "partial 16S ribosomal RNA". It matches the Rfam family "Bacterial small subunit ribosomal RNA", at positions 338 to 612 of the family's 1533-position model. Lineage: Bacteria; Pseudomonadati; Planctomycetota; Planctomycetia; Isosphaerales; Isosphaeraceae. The record is from RNAcentral.